GGAGACAGCCACCUGACCAGGAUUCUGUAAGGUCCUUUUCCUGACAGGAAGGACUUCGUGUGUGCUUAAUGGCACCUGCUUUGAGGGCACCUCGGUCCCAAGGGUUGAAACCGGGAUGGUAAUAUCACCAGAGAUGGACCAUGGACACGUGCAAAGGACCUGCCAAAUGGCUACUGUUAAGUGUCAUUGAGAGGAGGGCCUUGAAACUGCAUGUGUUUUCAAGAGAAAGCGCCACAGGCCCAGAGAUUGUUUCGGAAUAGGACAAGGAUGCCAGCUGCCCAGUACAGCCAGCGCUUGGACACCAAGCCCUAGACUUCCUGGAGACAGCCACGUGACCAGGAUUCUGAAAGGUCCUUUUCCUGACAGGAAGGACUUCGUGUGUGCUUAAUGGCACCUGCUUUGAGGGCACCUCGGUCCCAAGGGUUGAAAGCGGGAUGGUAAUAUCACCAGAGAUGGACCAUGGACAGGUGCAGAGGACCUGCCAAGUGGCUACUGUUAAGUGUCAUUGAGAGGAGGGCCUUGAAACUGCACGUGUUUUCAAGAGAAAGCGCCACAGGCCCAGAGAUUGUUUCGGAAUAGGACAAGGAUGCCAGCUGCCCAGUACAGCCAGCGCUUGGACACCAAGCCCUAGACUUCCUGGAGACAGCCACGUGACCAGGAUUCUGAAAGGUCCUUUUCCUGACAGGAAGGACUUCGUGUGUGCUUAAUGGCACCUGCUUUGAGGGCACCUCGGUCCCAAGGGUAGGUAGGACGAUGUCCAUGUCCGGCCUGAGGCAGUUAGAAGAAGAGUUGAAAGCGGGAUGGUAAUAUCACCAGAGAUGGACCAUGGACAGGUGCAGAGGACCUGCCAAGUGGCUACUGUUAAGUGUCAUUGAGAGGAGGGCCUUGAAACUGCAUGUGUUUUCAAGAGAAAGCGCCACAGGCCCAGAGAUUGUUUCGGAAUAGGACAAGGAUGCCAGCUGCCCAGUACAGCCAGCGCUUGGACACCAAGCCCUAGACUUCCUGGAGACAGCCACGUGACCAGGAUUCUGAAAGGUCCUUUUCCUGACAGGAAGGACUUCGUGUGUGCUUAAUGGCACCUGCUUUGAGGGCACCUCGGUCCCAAGGGUGCUGGCUCCACUGUGGUGUCCAUCACCAGUAUCUUCACCAUCAGUGGUUUGUGCCAUAAAAGGACAUGUGACUAGACCCCGCACAGUCAAGUUCCACAUAGUCACUUGCAUAAAACCUGAUUAGAAACACUGGUCA
This is a long non-coding RNA of Artibeus jamaicensis (Jamaican fruit-eating bat), 1245 nucleotides long. RefSeq lists it as uncharacterized. The record is from RefSeq and is a predicted model, not a curated record. Lineage: Eukaryota; Metazoa; Chordata; Mammalia; Chiroptera; Phyllostomidae. The transcript is spliced from 8 exons.